ACAACAUUCGGACCGUCGGUCUACCGAGCAAUAUCACCUGCUCGGUGGAAGAAUUUUCCUUUCGUCGU
Molecule: microRNA precursor, 68 nt
Filed under: Bombyx mori (domestic silkworm)
Lineage: Eukaryota; Metazoa; Arthropoda; Insecta; Lepidoptera; Bombycidae
Description: mir-2774 microRNA precursor family
Rfam family: mir-2774 microRNA precursor family
Source: Rfam by way of RNAcentral